This is a long non-coding RNA of Mandrillus leucophaeus (drill), 455 nucleotides long. RefSeq lists it as uncharacterized. The record is from RefSeq and is a predicted model, not a curated record. The transcript is spliced from 2 exons. Lineage: Eukaryota; Metazoa; Chordata; Mammalia; Primates; Cercopithecidae.
GCCCCUCACGCCUUGAUGCCCAGGCUAGCGGUGGCCACCCCAGUUCUUGUUGACUUGAGGGACCUGGCCAUCUUCCCCGUUCUUCAUCCUUCUCGGUCCCUACUUACUGUUUGUAACCACAAGUGUCUCUAUGUGUGGGUGGGUGAGGGCCCCUCUGCCCAGUGGUGUGUCUCCUCUCCCUCCCUCCCCUCCCUCUUCUGCCAGUGGCCUGGGGGUGUCCAGGCUCCCACCCAUGGCCCAGCCCCUCUCCCCUCCCUGUUGAUUCCCCCCUCCCUGCCCCUGGCUUCCUCUUCCAUGUCCCACCCUCUCCCACACCUUUGUUCCUCAAUAGCUGGGGGCUGGGACUCAGGCCUCCUGCGGGUGCCUGCCCGGCUCCACGCGGCGCCUCUCAGCCUCCUAUUGCUUGUCAGCCUGUGCGCAAGCGGUGCAGGAAAUAAAGGAUCUGUGCGCUCCUG